GUGGAUGAGGCAUGCAAGUCGAACGGAAUAGUAGGGCAACUUGCUAUUUAGUGGCGGAAGGGUUAGUAAUACAUGAAUAACCUGCCUUUAACCUGGGGAUAACUCCUGGAAACGGGUGUUAAUACCGAAUGAGGUGACGGAAGCGAUAGCUACUGUCAUCAAAGUAGGGGAUCUUGAAAGAGACCUUGCGGUUAAUGAGGGGUUCAUGGGAUAUCAGCUAGUUGGUGUGGUAACGGCGCACCAAGGCUAAGACGUCUAGGCGAUUGAGAGAUUG
RNAcentral lists this ribosomal RNA (274 nucleotides) under uncultured Chlamydiales bacterium. RNAcentral describes it as "partial 16S ribosomal RNA". It matches the Rfam family "Bacterial small subunit ribosomal RNA", at positions 44 to 302 of the family's 1533-position model. Lineage: Bacteria; Pseudomonadati; Chlamydiota; Chlamydiia; Chlamydiales. The record is from RNAcentral.